This 531-nucleotide ribosomal RNA is filed under the name uncultured Flavobacterium sp. RNAcentral's name for it is "bacterial SSU rRNA". It matches the Rfam family "Bacterial small subunit ribosomal RNA", at positions 90 to 619 of the family's 1533-position model. The record is from RNAcentral. Lineage: Bacteria; Pseudomonadati; Bacteroidota; Flavobacteriia; Flavobacteriales; Flavobacteriaceae.
AGAGACCGGCGCACGGGUGCGUAACGCGUAUGCAAUCUACCUUUCACAAAGGGAUAGCCCAGAGAAAUUUGGAUUAAUACCUUAUAGUAAUACGACUUGGCAUCAAGAUGUAUUUAAAGAUUUAUCGGUGAAAGAUGAGCAUGCGUCCCAUUAGCUAGUUGGUAAGGUAACGGCUUACCAAGGCUACGAUGGGUAGGGGUCCUGAGAGGGAGAUCCCCCACACUGGUACUGAGACACGGACCAGACUCCUACGGGAGGCAGCAGUGAGGAAUAUUGGACAAUGGGCGCAAGCCUGAUCCAGCCAUGCCGCGUGCAGGAUGACAGUCCUAUGGAUUGUAAACUGCUUUUGUACAGGAAGAAACCCUUUCACGUGUGGAAGAUUGACGGUACUGUAAGAAUAAGGAUCGGCUAACUCCGUGCCAGCAGCCGCGGUAAUACGGAGGAUCCAAGCGUUAUCCGGAAUCAUUGGGUUUAAAGGGUCCGUAGGCGGUCAGAUAAGUCAGUGGUGAAAGCCCAUCGCUCAACGGUGGA